AACGAACGCUGGCGGCAUGCCUAACACAUGCAAGUCGAACGAGCCCUUCGGGUCUAGUGGCGCACGGGUGCGUAACGCGUGGGAACCUGCCCUUAGGUUCGGAAUCACUCCCCGAGAGGGGUGCUAAUAACGGAUAAUGUCUUCGGACCUAAGAUUUAUCGCCUUUGGAUGGGUCCGCGUGAGAUUAGCUGGUUGGUAGGGUAAAAGCCUACCAAGGCGACGAUCCAUAGCUGGUCUGAGAGGAUGCACAGCCACACUGGGACUGAGACACGGCCCAGACUCCUACGGGAGGCAGCAGUGUGGAAUAGUGGACGAUGGGCGAAGGCCUGACCCAGCAGUGCCGCGGGAGUGAUGAAGGCCUUAGGGUUGUAAUGCUCGUUUACCCGUGAUGAUAAUGACGGUACCGGGAGAAUAAGCUCCGGCUAACUCCGUG
Molecule: ribosomal RNA, 433 nt
Filed under: uncultured bacterium
Lineage: Bacteria
Description: partial 16S ribosomal RNA
Rfam family: Bacterial small subunit ribosomal RNA
Source: RNAcentral